CGGUGGCGCGAUAGGAAACGAUAAGGCACGUCAGGGAAUCGCUGCACAAGUUUCUCAACUGGGCUACAUCGGUGGUCAUUCGUGCGACUGGGUUUGCGAUACACGAGAUCAUGAUGCGGCAUUUUUCCGGAUUGUGUCUCUUCUUUACCAUUCUCGUCUUGCGAGAAGUGUCUACUCAAGAUGAGAGAACAAAGAUUGUUGGCGGGACAGAGGCAGCUCCUGGCGAGUUUCCUUUCGUGGU
Hyalella azteca is the source of this 241-nucleotide long non-coding RNA. RefSeq lists it as uncharacterized. Lineage: Eukaryota; Metazoa; Arthropoda; Malacostraca; Amphipoda; Hyalellidae. The record is from RefSeq and is a predicted model, not a curated record. The transcript is spliced from 3 exons.